CUACGGGGCGCACCAGUGAGGAAUAUUGCACAAUGGGGGGAACCCUGAUACAGCAACGCCGCGUGGAGGAUGACGCAUUUCGGUGUGUAAACUCCUUUUAUAUGUCAAGAAAAUGACGGUAGCAUAUGAAUAAGCACCGGCUAACUCCGUGCCAGCAGCCGCGGUAAUACGGAGGGUGCAAGCGUUACUCGGAAUCACUGGGCGUAAAGGACGCGUAGGCGGGUUGGAAAGUCAGGUGUGAAAUCCUACAGCUUAACUGUAGAACAGCACUUGAAACUUCUAAUCUAGAGUAUGGGAGGGGGAGAUGGAAUUAGUGGUGUAGGGGUAAAAUCCGUAGAUAUCACUAGGAAUACCUAAAGCGAAGGCGAUCUCCUGGAACAUUACUGACGCUAAGGCGUGAAAGCGUGGGGAGCAAACAGGAUUAGAUACCCUUGUAGUC
This 439-nucleotide ribosomal RNA is filed under the name uncultured bacterium. RNAcentral describes it as "partial 16S ribosomal RNA". It matches the Rfam family "Bacterial small subunit ribosomal RNA", at positions 339 to 795 of the family's 1533-position model. The record is from RNAcentral.